CAGUAGCCGCGGUAAUACGUAGGGUGCAAGCGUUAAUCGGAAUUACUGGGCGUAAAGCGUGCGCAGGCGGUUUGUUAAGACAGAUGUGAAAUCCCCGGGCUUAACCUGGGAACUGCAUUUGUGACUGGCAAGCUAGAGUAUGGCAGAGGGGGGUGGAAUUCCGCGUGUAGCAGUGAAAUGCGCAGAUAUGCGGAGGAACACCGAUGGCGAAGGCAGCCCCCUGGGCCAAUACUGACGCUCAUGCACGAAAGCGUGGGGAGCAAACAGGAUUAGAUACCCCUGUAGUCCCUGUCUCUUAUAC
This 301-nucleotide ribosomal RNA is filed under the name uncultured bacterium. RNAcentral's name for it is "partial 16S ribosomal RNA". It matches the Rfam family "Bacterial small subunit ribosomal RNA", at positions 509 to 807 of the family's 1533-position model. The record is from RNAcentral.